AAAGACUUAGUCCUAACCUUAUAGUUAAUUCUAGCUAGAUAUACACAUGCAAGUAUCCGCACCCCAGUGUGAAUGCCCCAAUCUCUUCUCAACCCAAGACAAAGGCGCGGACAUCAGGCACGCUUUAGCAGCCCAAGACGUCUUGCUUAGCCACACCCCCACGGGUACUCAGCAGUGAUUAACAUUAAGCAAUAAGUGAAAGCUUGACUUAGUUAUAGCUUUAUAGAGCCGGUAAAUCUUGUGCCAGCCACCGCGGUCAUACAAGAGGCUCAAAUUAACUAUUACACGGCGUAAAGAGUGGUAUAACAUUAUCUAAAUAACUAGGAUCAAAUUGUAACUGAGCUGUCAUAAGCUAAAGAUGCACUUAAGACCACCUCUCAAGAUGAUCUUAGGACACCAUGAUCUAUUAUCUGCCACGAAAGCUAGGGCCCAAACUGGGAUUAGAUACCCCACUAUGCCUAGCCCUAAAUCCUAAUGCGCUACACUCACCAAGCCAUUCGCCUGGGAACUACGAGCACAAACGCUUAAAACCCUAAGGACUUGGCGGUGUUCCAAACCCACCUAGAGGAGCCUGUUCUAUAAUCGAUAACCCACGAUGCACCCAACCUCCCCUUGUCAUAUCAGCCUACAUACCGCCGUCUCCAGCUCGCCCUUUACUGAGGGCCUAACAGCGAGCAUAAUAGCCCCACCCCCGCUAAAAAGACAGGUCAAGGUAUAGCUAAUGGGGUGGAAGAAAUGGGCUACAUUUUCUAAAAUAGAAUACCCUUUAACGGAAAGAGAUGUGAAAUUCACCUCUGGAAGGCGGAUUUAGCAGUAAAAAGAGACUAUAAAGCUCUAUUUAAGCUGGCCCUGGGACACGUACAUACCGCCCGUCACCCUCCUCACAGGCUAACAAAUAAUUAUAGUUAAUAUAUCCAAAUAAGCCAAAGACGAGGUAAGUCGUAACAAGGUAAGUGUA
RNAcentral lists this non-coding RNA (958 nucleotides) under Trogon mexicanus. RNAcentral describes it as "partial 12S ribosomal RNA". It matches the Rfam family "Bacterial small subunit ribosomal RNA". Lineage: Eukaryota; Metazoa; Chordata; Aves; Trogoniformes; Trogonidae. The record is from RNAcentral.